This is an RNA transcript of Mangifera indica (mango), 1381 nucleotides long. It is a transcript of the gene named chaperone protein dnaJ 16-like, with no coding region annotated. The record is from RefSeq and is a predicted model, not a curated record. The transcript is spliced from 7 exons. Lineage: Eukaryota; Viridiplantae; Streptophyta; Magnoliopsida; Sapindales; Anacardiaceae.
UCAAAAUUAAAGGGAAAAAAAACGAAAUUCUCUGUAAGCGAAAAAGCUCUGAAGACAUUCGCAGGUCCGUCACUGCCUUGCACUUGUGGGAAACGAACUUGUCAUUCAAGCUUCUUCUUCUGAGGCUCUCUCUCUCUCGUUGCCUGUUCUCGUCCUUUAAUUUCACGAUUUGAUGGUCAUUCGAACGCUUGACUUAAUUUGAAUUUUCUAGUGGAUUUUUAGUUGAUCACACGUAGUGUUUAUUUGAUUAUUCCUUAAUUAUGCUUCGAAAUGCAACGUUUUGAUCUUGAUUAGGGUUGCUUCUUGGCUGUAGAUUUUGGAGAGUAUAAACUGAUUAAUUAGAUGUAUUUAUUAAAAUUUUCAGAAAAUAAUCUGAGAUAAACUGAAAGAAAUAAAAAGAAGAAGAAUAUACUAAUUAUUACUUACCGAGCUCUGAUUAGUUGCUGAGAAGUUCAAAGAAAGAAAGGAGAAAUUAAAGUUACAAAUUCUAUAUUGUUCGUUGUUUUUCUUUCUGAAGAGUUAAAAUUUAGAUGGAAUUGGUAUUGUUGUCUUUCUGUUCUUUUCUUGAUGAGGUGUUAUACAAUUUCAGGUGAAGGUACUGGUCUCCUAAGCCGUCAUAGCACAUAUAGACGUGAUCUUAAAAUUUACAGCUUUGAUGAGGGCGGUGUACAGAUGUCUGCAGCUGCAUUUGCCAAAGGCCUCCUUGACCUUGAAGGACAGUUGAUGCCAAUCCUGUUAUUGUAUUUUGAUCGAGAUGGGAGUAGUGGAUUGAGCCUUGCACUGCAGGACAACACAAAAACUGAGAAGGUGACAGCUGCUGGCAUGUAUUUUCUUGGUUUGCUGGUUCACUGGUUAGAUCAAACAGCCAACUUGCUGGCUGCUGCAAAGGAUCCAGAUGCUGCCAACUUUAAAAAACUGGAUAUCUUUCAGCCAUGUGAAAUAACUGAACUGAAGUUGAUUUUUUUUUUUUUUUUGUAAGUGCAAGCUGCACAAUAGAAGCCCUCUGUGCUGCCCCUUUUAAAGAAGAAAAGGAGAAUCUUAGAGCUGUGGAAGCUCAUUCUCACGGAAGGAUAUUUGAGUUGUGGUCAAUUGCUAGUCCAUUGAAAAUCAUUCACGUGCUCCUUCAAGCUAAUACGAGAGUGGUACCUUUUUCGACAUCCAAAUAGUGAAGAAAGUGGCGAACAUAUUGGCAUCCAAUUAACAAAGAAAGUAAAACUAUUUUACCACUAAUGAGUGACGCAUUCUAUGUCUUUUGUUUGUAAGUUAGUUAUAUUUUUGUUAUUACUUAGUUAUUAGUUGAUUUAUAGUAAUAACAAUUUGAUAAUAAUACAUGUUUUUUAAUUAGUUGAAAAAAUGUUUAAUAUAAAUUGUUGUACUUCAA